GGACUACCCGGGUAUCUAAUCCCGUUUGCUCCCCUGGCUUUCGCGCCUCAGCGUCAGAAAGGGUCCAGCACGUCGCUUUCGCCACCGGCGUUCCUUCGGAUAUCUACGCAUUUCACCGCUCCACCCGAAGUUCCACAUGCCCCUACCCCCCUCGAGAUACCCAGUAUCGGAGGCCGUCUUCCGGUUGAGCCGAAAGAUUUCACCACCGACUUGAGUACCCGCCUACGCGCCCUUUAAGCCCAGUGAAUCCGAACAACGUUCGCACGGUUCGUCUUACCGCGGCUGCUGGCAC
This 292-nucleotide ribosomal RNA is filed under the name uncultured bacterium. RNAcentral describes it as "partial 16S ribosomal RNA". The record is from RNAcentral. RNAcentral also lists the same sequence under 2 other names.